Osmerus eperlanus (European smelt) is the source of this 1027-nucleotide long non-coding RNA. RefSeq lists it as uncharacterized. The transcript has 4 exons. Lineage: Eukaryota; Metazoa; Chordata; Actinopteri; Osmeriformes; Osmeridae. The record is from RefSeq and is a predicted model, not a curated record.
UACAAGCGGGAAGUGAACCUGCUGGUUCUGGGUGCUUUGUUGAGUCAGUGUCACAUUUUCACUGUGGAUACUGCAGACAUUGUAUUUCCCGUCUCCAGUGUUUGUCAGGCGUUGAAAGGAUUGCGUUGAGACGAUGCCAUUUGAACGUGAGAUACCUUGGAUAACCUGGCCAGGGAUGAAGAGAUGGAACAGCUACAGCUUCAUUGCCCCUGACAUGAAGGAAAGUUCAGGGGAAAAAAUCGAGGAGCCUAACUUGAAGGGAAAACAACAGGAUGGAAGACUGUUGCCAGAACUACUGACAGACAUGACGGACAGAUUGAUCGUUAUGGAACACAUCAACUUGAUCUAAGGAUACAAGUCAAAUAUACCCCAAAACAUGGGAUGACUGUGCAUCAACAAAGAAAACCAAAAGACAACCUCUCCAUGACCAACAAUCAAGAGUAAAGAAAAUAUACGAAAUAAAAUCACAAUGUACUCAUAGCACAAAUAAAAUUGGAUUUUGACCUCACUUUUGCCAUUUUUCCUGAGGUGUAAAGCACCGAGGUGUGAAUUUGUAGCUGUUCAGCAACCUCAUAAAAAAGAACGCAUUUACUUUAUGUUUACUUUGUUUAUACAUACUAAUGAAACAAGACGUUCUGCCAUAGUCAGGCGUACUAUCACCUCGCUCGUAAAAGUGCUCCUCGGAAACGCGAUCCAACAGGAAAGUGUUUGUCCCACCUCACAAAAAGAAAAUAGUCUAGAUGUAGUUUAAUAUAAUCUUUAUUUUUCUUAAACAAAUUUUUUAAGUAAAAACAUUUUUUUGUUGUUGUAGAAAGACAUAUUCCCUGUCAGUAGUUGACUUAUUGUAUUCAUCGUUCUUGGUUGUGUAAAGCCCACUGGUCGGGUUGUUCAUGUUCCCUUCUACACAAAUGAGUCAAUAGAGAAAGCAGGAGAAUACACCACUGAGUCAGAAACAACUCAACUGACUCACUCAACUAACUCACUCAACCGGUGGGGGGGGGGGGGGGGGGGGGGGGGAGGGGAGGGA